ACUCAAACCAGCUGUAUUAAGGAAGGUGCAAGCUUUUGGGAUUUCUGUUUGGAUUUAGUUUAGGUUCAAAAGAGCACGCACAGAUCCUGAGUGUUGUCAAGCACCCGUGACUGGGAAACGGAGGCGUCCGAUCCGUAUUGGAGUCAAUUCGCCACUUAAUUGGGAAGCAGUUGAUUGAGAAUAAUGGUUCUGUUUUGGAGGUUGAUGGAAGAUGCCCUUUGGCCAGGAAAACAGCUCAUGCUUUUAGAGGAGGAUAAUUGCCAGAAGGCCUCUCUGAAUAAAAAAAAAUCCUGACCUCACAGCCUUUGCGCUUACUUGGGUUAGAAUGCCACAGUGAACAUUGCCCCUUGUCAUCACGUAGAGGUGCUCACAGGUAAAGCAACACAAGGAGCAUAUAGGAUCACCUGCUGGAUCUUGUUUUUAACACCAGGGAGGAAAAUGGUGUCUUGGGUAAUGAACAUGCCUCAAGACUGAGCUGGCCAUCUUCAGUGUCAUCCAAACCCUCAGUGGCCCCUGAAAAACCCUUUGAAAAGAUUCAGCACGUUGCCAUGGAGAACAUCCCACUGAAGGAAUGUAUAGAAGUAGCAGGUGUCAGCUGCCUACCAGUUGCUUUCAUCUCUAGAAAUCUGUGACUUGCAGUAUGACAAGAACAAAAGGUGACAAUACAAAGGACAAAGGGCAAGGAAUACAGACGGAGAAGCCGCUUAGAGUCUAGGAUGGCAGAGGUUCUCUUGAUCAUUUCAUUUUUGAGCGCUUGUAGAGCUUUGGUGUACCAGAGGUGCUUGAACAGCUUACCACACCACAGAUGAAUGGCCUUUGGAUUUCUCCUAAGAAAAUGUGGCUACCUGAAAUUCAACUCCAUUUUCUGGUCUUCAAUAUUUCUUUUGUGUUCAGUUUGCCAGCUGAGGAGAAGUGGCUAAGCAUAGCCUGUUACUGAUGCUAAAGCCCAAGUUCUGAACCUAACAACUCCAGCAACAUGAUCCUGUUUCAAGAGACAAAAAAGUGACUAAUGAAAGAAAACAAUUGAUGUGCUAUGUAGAGUUUAAAAGAAGAGAGAAACACACCAAGGAAUUUCUGGUGGUAUUCCACUUCCAAGGAUCCUCGAGGUUUCUGCUGGAUGGAGCCACUGCUGCUGACUUUGGUGUUUGCUAUUGGACUGGACUGCUGAUAUCCUGACAACAAAGAUUGGAACUACCCCUAAAAACUACUUCUAAGACUGAAAGGUAUGAAGAUCUGUGGCAAGAGGCAUGUCAGAGAAUAAGCCGAAGAAUUCUGUUAUUUUAUAGCAUUAGAUCUUCUUUCCUGUCAAAUCUGUCACUUGUGCCCUGACUCUGGCUGGGAUGAAGAGAACAAGAUGGAAAUAAAGAUAUGGAAUGCAGUGUACACUAUGUGUUUCUGCACUAACUUCCUGAAUGACUUCCUGGAUUGUGUUGCUGGAGAUGGCUCUCUGUGGACUCCUGUAUCAAUGUUUCCCUGGCAUGGGGGCAGAGCAGUCUCAGUGGUAUGUUUCUAGCUGCUGUCCCAGCCUAAAGGAUUUAAUUAUGCGUGAAGAGUUGAAACUGGAUUAUUUCUUGUUUCUUGAAUGUUGUAUGUUCCAGGCUUUGAGCCUUAGCCUACCUGAAACUCUUUCUUGCUAUCUACAGACAACCUUAUGUUUCUGGGGUCAUCUCAAAUGCUGUUCUUUCUAUAAAAUAUUUGUCCUAGAA
Molecule: long non-coding RNA, 1706 nt
Filed under: Mus musculus (house mouse)
Lineage: Eukaryota; Metazoa; Chordata; Mammalia; Rodentia; Muridae
Description: predicted gene 14461
Source: RNAcentral